RNAcentral lists this ribosomal RNA (449 nucleotides) under uncultured bacterium. RNAcentral's name for it is "partial 16S ribosomal RNA". It matches the Rfam family "Bacterial small subunit ribosomal RNA", at positions 29 to 523 of the family's 1533-position model. The record is from RNAcentral.
AGCGAACGCUGGCGGCAGGCUUAACACAUGCAAGUCGAACGCCCGGGCAACCGGGAGUGGCAGACGGGUGAGUAACACGUGGGAACGUACCCUUUGGUUCGGAAUAACUCAGGGAAACUUGAGCUAAUACCGGAUAAGCCCUUUUGGGGAAAGAUUUAUCGCCGAAGGAUCGGCCCGCGUCCGAUUAGCUAGUUGGUGAGGUAACGGCUCACCAAGGCGACGAUCGGUAGCUGGUCUGAGAGGAUGAUCAGCCACACUGGGACUGAGACACGGCCCAGACUCCUACGGGAGGCAGCAGUGGGGAAUAUUGGACAAUGGGGGCAACCCUGAUCCAGCCAUGCCGCGUGAGUGAUGAAGGCCCUAGGGUUGUAAAGCUCUUUCGGCGGGGACGAUAAUGACGGUACCCGCAGAAGAAGCCCCGGCUAACUUCGUGCCAGCAGCCGCCGCGG